This 338-nucleotide unclassified non-coding RNA is filed under the name soil metagenome. RNAcentral's name for it is "partial contains 5.8S ribosomal RNA, internal transcribed spacer 2, and large subunit ribosomal RNA". The stretch from base 1 to 120 matches the Rfam family "5.8S ribosomal RNA", at positions 35 to 154 of the family's 154-position model. The record is from RNAcentral.
GAUGAAGAACGUAGUGAAAUGCGAUAAGUAGUGUGAAUUGCAGAAUUCAGUGAAUCAUCGAAUCUUUGAACGCACAUUGCGCCCUUUGGUAUUCCAAAGGGCAUGCCUGUUCGAGCGUCAUUUGUACCCUCAAGCUUUGCUUGGUGUUGGGCGUCUUGUCUCCAGUUCGCUGGAGACUCGCCUUAAAGUAAUUGGCAGCCGGCCUACUGGUUUCGGAGCGCAGCACAAGUCGCGCUCUCUUCCAGCCAAGGUCAGCAUCCACAAAGCCUUUUUUCAACUUUUGACCUCGGAUCAGGUAGGGAUACCCGCUGAACUUAAGCAUAUCAAUAAGCGGAGGA